This 1173-nucleotide long non-coding RNA is filed under the name Numida meleagris (helmeted guineafowl). Its description in RNAcentral is "lncRNA (ENSNMEG00000018381.1)". Lineage: Eukaryota; Metazoa; Chordata; Aves; Galliformes; Numididae. The record is from RNAcentral.
AGUGACCAUGAAAUGGUAGAGUUCUCAAUUCUUGGUGGAACCAGGAUAGGGGACAGCAAAACUGCUACCUUGGACUUUAGGAGGGCAGACUUUGAAUUGUUCAGGAGACUGGUAGGGAGGGUCCCUUGGGAUUUGGUCUUGGAGGGUAAGGGGGUCCAGGAAGGCUGGUUGCUCCUCAAGAAGGAAGUCCUGAAGGCACAGGAACAGGCUGUCCCCCUGAGCCGCAAGAUGAGCCGUCGGGGAAGGAGACCAGCAUGGAUGAACAGGGAGCUUUUCCUGAGGCUCCAGGAGAAAAAGAGAAUCUACCUCCCGUGGAAGAAGGGACAGGCAACUCGGAGAGAGUACAAAGAGGUUGUUAGGAUGUGCAAGGAGAAAAUUAGAAAGGCAAAGGCCCAGCUCAAACUAAGCUUGGCUGCUGGGAUAAAAGGGAACAAGAAACUCUUCUACAAAUAUAUUAACAGUAAUAGGAGGACCAAGGAGAAUCUCCACUCUUUACUGGACACGGCUGGGAAUGUGGCCACUGAGGACAAUGAAAAGGCUGAGGUUCUCAAUGCCUUCUUUAAGUCUGUCUUUAAAAGCCAGACCAGUUGUCCUCAGAGUACUCUACUCUCUGACCUGGAAGUCUCAGAUGGGGAGCGGAAUAAACCCCCCAUGAUUCAGGAGGAAACGGUCAGAGACCUACUACUCCAUCUGGACUGCCACAAGUCCAUGGGGCCGGACGAGAUCCACCCGAGAGUACUGAGGGAGCUGGCAGAGGAGAUAGCCAAGCCACUUUCCAUCAUCUAUCAGUGUUCCUGGUCAACUGGAGAGGUCCCAGAAGACUGGAGACUUGCCAAUGUGACUCCCAUUGACAAGAAGGGUCGUAAGGAGGAUCUGGGAACUACAGGCCUGUCAGCCUGACCUCAGUGCCAGGGAAGGUUAUGGAGCAGAUUGUCCUGAGGGAAAUCAUGCAGCAUUUGCAGGACAACCAGGGGAUUAGGCCCAGCCAGCAUGGGUUUUUGAAAGGCAGGUCCUGCUUGACCAACCUGAUCUCCUUCUAUGAUCGAGUGACCCGCCUGGUGGAUGAGGGAAAGGCUGUUGAUGUGGGCUACCUAGACUUCAGCGAAGCCUUUGACACUGUCUCCCACAAUAUUCUCCUGGAGAAACUGGCAGCCCCUGGCCUGGACAGCUACA